RNAcentral lists this long non-coding RNA (281 nucleotides) under Vulpes vulpes (red fox). RNAcentral's name for it is "lncRNA (ENSVVUG00000026155.1)". The record is from RNAcentral. Lineage: Eukaryota; Metazoa; Chordata; Mammalia; Carnivora; Canidae.
AACAGGUCAAGUCGAUCUACUGAUUAGUUUUUCCCCAGUGACUCUUGGAAAACACUGCACAAGGUACAGGCUGCUGACGUGCUGACAACCAGGAGUGUCGUAGCACAAGAAGAGAAUGGAGCAGCCAUUGCCAAGGGGAGGCAGAGCGGAGCUGUUCCCAGCUGCAAGCCUGGUCCUGCAAGAGUCUCCACAUUUUUUCCUAGUGCAGAGUCUGCAGUUGGGGGACAUGAAUUCUGGUGCUCUGUUCUCCAUGAAUGCUUCUCACCUUUCUUCCUGGAGCC